ACAGUUUCAUCCAUUCUGGACAUUCAGUGAUAAACAAUCGUCUACUAUGAGAAAAGAUGGAAGAAAAAACAGGGUCAGUUUGUGAUUGAGGAACUCUGGAUGUGUAGGGUGGAACUCUGCCUGCUGCCCCAGUGAUGGCAGAGGGAGACAUAAAAGGCGCACGAGGCGUUAGAGUGGGAGAGAGAGACCAGAGAGAGAGAGAGACUGUACCUGGGUGUGCUGGAUAGAAACCUUUACUCAUUUUUUUUUGUGUGUGACUACUUGGCCACUGAGUCCCUUUUUUGUUUAAGUUUUAUGAACAAUGCUGAAGAGUAAUAAAAACACUCACGUUGACAGUU
Molecule: long non-coding RNA, 338 nt
Organism: Myxocyprinus asiaticus (Chinese sucker)
Lineage: Eukaryota; Metazoa; Chordata; Actinopteri; Cypriniformes; Catostomidae
Exons: 2
Source: RefSeq, a predicted model, not a curated record